Molecule: long non-coding RNA, 220 nt
Filed under: Elaeis guineensis (African oil palm)
Lineage: Eukaryota; Viridiplantae; Streptophyta; Magnoliopsida; Arecales; Arecaceae
Description: long non-coding RNA (EGUI_LNC061652)
Source: RNAcentral
GUUCCAACACCAAACCCUGACAUCCUUCUUUCUUCUUUAUCAAUUGCUGGAGUAACAUCUAGGUUCCACGUGAGGUGUUUAUGUUCAGGUAUAGAGGAGGUCAUAUCAAAGUUUCUGUUAUAAUUGGUAUCAGAGUCUGAUUAUGUGGAGAAAAGAAGAAGACACCGAAAUCAAUUGUCAGCCCAGAUUUCUGUAGCGCCCAGGUUUUCCCUUGUUGUCU